GAGUUUGAUCAUGGCUCAGAUUGAACGCUGGCGGUAGGCUUAACACAUGCAAGUCGUGCGAGAAAGUAUCUUCGGAUAUGAGUAGAGCGGCGGACGGGUGAGUAACGCGUAGGAAUCUACCUAGUAGAAGGGGAUAGCCCGGGGAAACCCGGAUUAAUACCGUAUACCUCCUUCGGGAGAAAGAAGGCCUCUCUUUGAAGCUUUCGCUACUAGAUGAGCCUGCGUAAGAUUAGCUUGUUGGUGAGGUAAAGGCUCACCAAGGCGACGAUCUUUAGCUGGUCUGAGAGGACGAUCAGCCACAUUGGGACUGAGACACGGCCCAAACUCCUACGGGAGGCAGCAGUGGGGAAUCUUGCACAAUGGAGGAAACUCUGAUGCAGCGAUGCCGCGUGAGUGAAGAAGGCCCUUGGGUUGUAAAGCUCUUUCGUCGGGGAAGAAAAUGACUGUACCCGAAUAAGAAGGUCCGGCUAACUUCGUGCCAGCAGCCGCGGUAAUACGAAGGGACCUAGCGUAGUUCGGAAUUACUGGGCUUAAAGAGUUCGUAGGUGGUUGAAAAAGUUAGUGGUGAAAUCCCAGAGCUUAACUCUGGAACUGCCAUUAAAACUUUUCAGCUAGAGUAUGAUAGAGGAAAGCAGAAUUUCUAGUGUAGAGGUGAAAUUCGUAGAUAUUAGAAAGAAUACCAAUUGCGAAGGCAGCUUUCUGGAUCAUUACUGACACUGAGGAACGAAAGCAUGGGUAGCGAAGAGGAUUAGAUACCCUCGUAGUCCAUGCCGUAAACGAUGUGUGUUAGACGUUGGAAAUUUAUUUUCAGUGUCGCAGGGAAACCGAUAAACACACCGCCUGGGGAGUACGACCGCAAGGUUAAAACUCAAAUGAAUUGACGGGGACCCGCACAAGUAGUGGAGCAUGUGGUUUAAUUCGAAGAUACGCGCAGAACCUUACCAACACUUGACAUGUUCGUCGCGACUCUAAGAGAUUAGAGUUUUCGGUUCGGCCGGACGAAACACAGGUGCUGCAUGGCUGUCGUCAGCUCGUGUCGUGAGAUGUUCGGUUAAGUCCGGCAACGAGCGCAACCCACGUCCUUAGUUACCAGCAUUUAGUUGGGUACCCUAAGGAGACUGCCGGUGAUAAGCCGGAGGAGGGUGUGGACGACGUCAAGUCAUCAUGGCCCUUACGGGUUGGGCUACACACGUGCUACAAUGGCAUCUACAGUGAGUUAAUCUCCAAAAGAUGUCUCAGUUCGGAUUGGGGUCUGCAACUCGACCCCAUGAAGUUGGAAUCGCUAGUAAUCGCGGAACAGCAUGCCGCGGUGAAUACGUUCCCGGGCCUUGUACACACCGCCCGUCACACCAUGGGAAUUGGGUCUACCCGAAGGUGGUGCGCCAACUAUUUAUAGGGGCAGCCAACCACGGUAGGUUCAGUGACUGGGGUGAAGUCGUAACAAGGUAACC
This 1451-nucleotide ribosomal RNA is filed under the name uncultured marine bacterium. RNAcentral's name for it is "16S ribosomal RNA". It matches the Rfam family "Bacterial small subunit ribosomal RNA". The record is from RNAcentral.